CUGGCGCAGAGAAGCUGGGCGGGUGGCGAGGCUGAGGAGUGAGGAGACUCUCAGCUCAGUGUUCCGUGGGUCGUCUGUGUGGGAGGACGUACUCGGCCGCUCCAGCACGCAUCUUCACUGGCCGUCACACCUCGGAAUAAAGUUUCGUUUUAUUGCGAGUGGCAGUGACCGGCGGAGGAAAAAAGUUAAGCCAGUCUUGUUUUUUUUUUUUAUCUUUUUUUUUUUUUUUUUACGGUAAAGGAAUCUGAUCCUUCUCCCGACGCGUCUGUUGGACUACAGUGGAACGCUGUACGAGUGAUUACAACUUUUUAUAGUUUGCUGAGGUGUGAAAUAUCCGUGGUGAGAAUUCCACGAGAGACGGGGAGACGGAGAGAGGGGGAGAGAGAGAGAGAGAGAGAGAAAAAAAAGGACUAAAGUGGCAAGUUUUGAACGUGAGAAGAGAACGUAGAAAGAGAAAGAGAGAGAGAAAGAGAGAGAGAAAGAGAGAACCUUGUGAGGAACGUUGAAGGUUUAAGUGGCGGAGCGAAAGGUCUGAAACGGAGGAGGAAGAGGAGAAGGAAGAAGAGGAGGAGGAGGAGAAGAGAGCAAGGUGUAGGAGGCUGCACCAACAAGACUGCCACUGUUAAGGAGCAUAAAUAUUCAGCGUGCGUAUCAGUGUGCGGUGCAAGACAACAGUGCCAGGUCAGUGCCAAAAAGGAACCGUGGCACUGGGAAAUAUCUGACUAAUAUCCUGCAAUACCUCUGUAAAGAAAGGAAUACACAAGAUAACAGUGUUGGGAGAGUGCCAGAUCAGUGCCAGCAGAACCGAGGCACUGGGAAACUUUUGACCCCUCUCCUGCAGUGCCUCAGCAAACAAAAACAAAUAACAGUGCCAGGAAAGUACUGAAUCGGUGCCGAAUUACAAAUCGAGGCACCGGGGACUUCUAAACCAACCUCCUGCUGCUGUUAAGUGGUAAACAAGCAGAGGAAGAUAAUAGUGCCAACAGACUGCCUAAUAAGAGCUGAAUUAAAACCAAGGCACUGGGGACUUUUAAACCAUCCUCCUGCAGCGGCUGAGUGGUAAACAAGCGAGGGAAUAAAGGAUAAGAGUGGUAAACAAGCAAAGGAAUAAAGGAGAGUGACUGCCAGUGCCAGCGACAGGGGGCAAGAGGGAGAGAGAGCGCGGAACUUCCUCUAUCUGGCUCAACUAUUUUCUCCCUCACAAAGUUCUGAAUUGCGAGGCGGCGCGGCGGUGAUAAGCGGCCCCAAAACAACCUGAAGAGGACGAUAAUCGCUGGCAUUACCAACUUUCCCGCCAGAAUCAGACGACUCAAUUGAAAACGUGAGAAAUCGAGGCGACCACGACCCCGCCACCACCACCACGACCCCACCACGACCCACGGCGAGGUGAGGGUGAGAGUGAGGGCGUGUGGGUGAGGGAAAGUACCUCAUACGUCCUCUCACACCCCGGAGAAAGAGAAAAAGGAAGGGAGAGAGAGAGAGAUAAAGAGAGACUUGUGCGUUGAAGUACCACGUCUCGAUUCCCCUUCAAGAGAGAGAGAGAGAGAGAGAGAGAGAGAGAGAGAGAGAGAGAGAGAGAGAGAGAGAGAGAGAGAGAGA
Scylla paramamosain (green mud crab) is the source of this 1599-nucleotide long non-coding RNA. RefSeq lists it as uncharacterized. The record is from RefSeq and is a predicted model, not a curated record. The transcript is spliced from 2 exons. NCBI's taxonomy places the organism in Eukaryota, Metazoa, Arthropoda, Malacostraca, Decapoda, Portunidae.